This 608-nucleotide ribosomal RNA is filed under the name Bombina orientalis. RNAcentral describes it as "partial 16S ribosomal RNA". It matches the Rfam family "Bacterial large subunit ribosomal RNA", at positions 1797 to 2620 of the family's 2925-position model. The record is from RNAcentral. Lineage: Eukaryota; Metazoa; Chordata; Amphibia; Anura; Bombinatoridae.
CGCCUGUUUAUCAAAAACAUCGCCUCUUGCAACUCACAUAUAAGAGGUAACGCCUGCCCAGUGACCAUGUGUUCAACGGCCGCGGUAUUCUGACCGUGCAAAGGUAGCGUAAUCACUUGUCUUUUAAAUAAAGACUAGUAUGAAUGGCAUCACGAGAGUUCAACUGUCUCCCCCACCCAAUCAGUGAAACUGAUCUCCCCGUGCAGAAGCGGGGAUAAAACCAUAAGACGAGAAGACCCCAUGGAGCUUUAAACUAAAGGCACUAGCUCUUAAUUUACCCCAAGGACAAAACAUUAAACCAGUUAAAGUGACCUGUCGUUUUCGGUUGGGGCGACCACGGAGAAGAACAAAUCCUCCGAGAUGAAAGGGUAAACCCUUAGCCAAGACCCACAAUUCUAAGCAAUAGAACAUCUAACGCACCGAUCCAAUCAAAUUGAUCAACGAACCAAGUUACCCUGGGGAUAACAGCGCAAUCUAUUUUCAGAGUUCAUAUCGACAAAUAGGUUUACGACCUCGAUGUUGGAUCAGGGCCUCCUAGCGGUGCAGCCGCUGCUAAGGGUUCGUUUGUUCAACGAUUAAAGCCCUACGUGAUCUGAGUUCAGACCGGA